ACCGCCCGGCCCGAGCGGGCCCCGGCGGGGCAGGGCUGCAGCUUCGCCCCGCGCCCCGCCCGUGCGGAUUUUUAGGUAACUUCUUGCAGGAUUUUAGUCGGCACCUGUAGCUCUCACUGGCGAGCCCACGUUUUUUGCACCCUCAAGUUAUUAAAGAAGCUUUUUCCGUCUUGAAGUUUGUACUUCAGAUAUUCAGGUCAGAAUGAACUAAAGGCACUUCAGCAGAAUGUUCUUCACGGGUGUAUGACCUCCCUUAUUACUCUGCUAUUAAAACUGAGGCAAAAAGCUGUAACAUUCCAAGUAAAUUGUCCUCACAGCCAAGUCUUGCACAUUUCCUGGUGAUCCCUGACAUCCCAGAAGCACUUUCUCCAAGUUCUCUGGGCAUUCUUAAAGCUGCUGCUGUUCAGCUGAUGCCUGCGAGGAGGCUGACACUGACUUAAUUUCAGAUUUUCAAAGACUGUUUUCCUACAGUUCUGUAUGGAACUCCUCAAUUUCCCUGGAGUGUGGGAUAUGCCCUUUAUCCUUCCAACUGAUAACAGCUACUUUAAGCUUCAUCACAUGCGUGCAAGAGGACAAAAAGACUUCACUACCUACAGUCUCUGCAUGUUAAGUAAAUGUCUUUACCUUUCUGAAGGAGUCUGGAACAGGCAUCCAGGAGAGCUCCAGCAAUGACAACAACAGAGGUUGUGCCAUCACCAGCUUCAAUAUCUUGUGCUUUUGAGAGCUCUACCAACUGAAGGAGAAAUUAUGACAAAAAUUUAUAAUAAACAGAGUGCUGCUUACCCA
This is a long non-coding RNA of Corvus hawaiiensis (hawaiian crow), 786 nucleotides long. RefSeq lists it as uncharacterized. NCBI's taxonomy places the organism in Eukaryota, Metazoa, Chordata, Aves, Passeriformes, Corvidae. The transcript is spliced from 2 exons. The record is from RefSeq and is a predicted model, not a curated record.